GCCUGGGUGGUAUGAAUGCACUUGGCUGCUAACCAAAAGGUUGGAGGUUCAAGUCCACCCAGAGGCA
RNAcentral lists this transfer RNA (67 nucleotides) under Loxodonta africana (African savanna elephant). It matches the Rfam family "tRNA". Rfam says of the family: Transfer RNA (tRNA) molecules are approximately 80 nucleotides in length. Their secondary structure includes four short double-helical elements and three loops (D, anti-codon, and T loops). Lineage: Eukaryota; Metazoa; Chordata; Mammalia; Proboscidea; Elephantidae. The record is from Rfam by way of RNAcentral.